Molecule: unclassified non-coding RNA, 331 nt
Filed under: soil metagenome
Description: partial contains 5.8S ribosomal RNA, internal transcribed spacer 2, and large subunit ribosomal RNA
Rfam family: 5.8S ribosomal RNA (bases 1-120)
Source: RNAcentral
GAUGAAGAACGUAGCGAAAUGCGAUAAGUAAUGUGAAUUGCAGAAUUCAGUGAAUCAUCGAAUCUUUGAACGCACAUUGCGCCCCCUGGUAUUCCGGGGGGCAUGCCUGUUCGAGCGUCAUUUCACCACUCAAGCCUCGCUUGGUAUUGGGCAACGCGGUCCGCCGCGUGCCUCCAAUCGACCGGCUGGGUCUUCUGUCCCCUAAGCGUUGUGGAAACUAUUCGCUAAAGGGUGUUCGGGAGGCUACGCCGUAAAACAACCCCAUUUCUAAGGUUGACCUCGGAUCAGGUAGGGAUACCCGCUGAACUUAAGCAUAUCAAUAAGCGGAGGA